This 498-nucleotide ribosomal RNA is filed under the name uncultured bacterium. RNAcentral describes it as "partial 16S ribosomal RNA". It matches the Rfam family "Bacterial small subunit ribosomal RNA", at positions 30 to 523 of the family's 1533-position model. The record is from RNAcentral.
AUUGAACGCUGGCGGCAUGCCUUACACAUGCAAGUCGAACGGUAACAGGUCUUCGGAUGCUGACGAGUGGCGAACGGGUGAGUAAUGCAUCGGAACGUGCCCAGUAGUGGGGGAUAGCCCGGCGAAAGCCGGAUUAAUACCGCAUACGACCUGAGGGGGAAAGGGGGGGAUCGCAAGACCUCUCGCUAUUGGAGCGGCCGAUGUCAGAUUAGCUAGUUGGUGGGGUAAAGGCCUACCAAGGCAACGAUCUGUAGUUGGUCUGAGAGGACGACCAGCGACACUGGGACUGAGACACGGCCCAGACUCCUACGGGAGGCAGCAGUGGGGAAUUUUGGACAAUGGGCGCAAGCCUGAUCCAGCAAUGCCGCGUGCAGGAAGAAGGCCUUCGGGUUGUAAACUGCUUUUGUCAGGGAAGAAAUCUUCUGGGUUAAUACCUCGGGAGGAUGACGGUACCUGAAGAAUAAGCACCGGCUAACUACGUGCCAGCCGCCGCCGUAA